This 396-nucleotide ribosomal RNA is filed under the name uncultured bacterium. RNAcentral's name for it is "partial 16S ribosomal RNA". It matches the Rfam family "Bacterial small subunit ribosomal RNA", at positions 524 to 918 of the family's 1533-position model. The record is from RNAcentral.
UACGUAGGGGGCGAGCGUUGUCCGGAAUGAUUGGGCGUAAAGGGCGCGUAGGCGGCCCGGUAAGUCUGGAGUGAAAGUCCUGUUUUUAAGAUGGGAAUUGCUUUGGAUACUGUCGGGCUUGAGUGCAGGAGAGGUAAGUGGAAUUCCCAGUGUAGCGGUGAAAUGCGUAGAGAUUGGGAGGAACACCAGUGGCGAAGGCGACUUACUGGACUGUAACUGACGCUGAGGCGCGAAAGUGUGGGGAGCAAACAGGAUUAGAUACCCUGGUAGUCCACACUGUAAACGAUGAAUGCUAGGUGUAGGGGGUAUCGACCCCUUCUGUGCCGCAGUCAACACAAUAAGCAUUCCGCCUGGGGAGUACGGCCGCAAGGUUGAAACUCAAAGGAAUUGACGGGG